GAUGAAGCCCAGCUUGCUGGGUGGAUUAGUGGCGAACGGGUGAGUAACACGUGAGUAACCUGCCCCCGACUCUGGGAUAAGCCCGGGAAACUGGGUCUAAUACCGGAUAUUACCUUUGACCGCAUGGUUGUUGGUGGAAAGAUUUAUCGGUGGGGGAUGGACUCGCGGCCUAUCAGCUUGUUGGUGAGGUAAUGGCUCACCAAGGCGACGACGGGUAGCCGGCCUGAGAGGGUGACCGGCCACACUGGGACUGAGACACGGCCCAGACUCCUACGGGAG
Molecule: ribosomal RNA, 279 nt
Filed under: Glutamicibacter sp.
Lineage: Bacteria; Bacillati; Actinomycetota; Actinomycetes; Micrococcales; Micrococcaceae
Description: partial 16S ribosomal RNA
Rfam family: Bacterial small subunit ribosomal RNA
Source: RNAcentral